AAAGGGUGUGUAGGCGGGUAUUUAAGUCAGUGGUGAAAUCUCCGAGCUCAACUCGGAAACUGCCAUUGAUACUAUUUAUCUUGAAUAUUGUUGAGGUAGGCGGAAUAUGUCAUGUAGCGGUGAAAUGCUUAGAUAUGACAUAGAACACCGAUUGCGAAGGCAGCUUGCUAAACAAUUAUUGACGCUGAGGCACGAAAGCGUGGGGAUCAAACAGGAUUAGAUACCCGAGU
Molecule: ribosomal RNA, 230 nt
Filed under: uncultured bacterium
Lineage: Bacteria
Description: partial 16S ribosomal RNA
Rfam family: Bacterial small subunit ribosomal RNA
Source: RNAcentral